This 370-nucleotide long non-coding RNA is filed under the name Homo sapiens (human). RNAcentral's name for it is "HSALNT0208263". Lineage: Eukaryota; Metazoa; Chordata; Mammalia; Primates; Hominidae. The record is from RNAcentral.
CAGCUCAGCCUGCAGCAGGUUGUUGCGCCGCUCCACGAUGGCGAUGUUCUCCUUCAGGUCGUCGUUGGCACGGACCGCAUCGUCCAGCUGGAUCUGGGUGUCCUGAGCAUCAGGCUCGUUGCGGCUGCGUGUCUCUGCAUCCAGGGAGGUCUGCAGCGAGUCCACCACCCGCUGGUGGUUGCGCUUGGCCUGUUCCAUCUCCUCGUCCUUCUCUGCCAGCUUCCGCUCGAUCUCUGCCUUGAUCUGGUUGAACUCUAGCUGGGCCCGGAGGAUCUUGCCCUCCUCGUGCUCCAGGGAGGCCUGGGAAGGGAGCUAUGAAGACAAGGAGGAAAAUGAAGAGAAAAGUGUUGCCAAGGAAACAGAGGCAAUC